GCUCAGGAUGAACGCUGGCGGUCUGCUUAACACAUGCAAGUCGAACGCAACCUUCGGGUUGAGUGGCGGACGGGUGAGUAACGCGUGAGAAUCUGCCUUGGGGUCGGGGACAACCACUGGAAACGGUGGCUAAUACCGGAUAAGCCUUUGGGUAAAAAAUUUAUUGCCCCAAGAGGAGCUCGCGUCUGAUUAGCUAGUUGGUGAGGUAAAAGCUCACCAAGGCGGCGAUCAGUAGCUGGUCUGAGAGGACGAUCAGCCACACUGGGACUGAGACACGGCCCAGACUCCUACGGGAGGCAGCAGUGGGGAAUUUUCCGCAAUGGGCGAAAGCCUGACGGAGCAAGACCGCGUGAGGGAGGAAGGCUCUUGGGUUGUAAACCUCUUUUCUCAGGGAAGAAGCUCUGACGGUACCUGAGGAAUCAGCCUCGGCUAACUCCGUGCCAGCAGCCGCGGUAAUACGGAGGAGGCAAGCGUUAUCCGGAAUUAUUGGGCGUAAAGCGUCCGCAGGUGGCGAUUCAAGUCUGCUGUCAAAGCACGGGGCUUAACUCCGUUAAGGCAGUGGAAACUGAAUAGCUAGAGUGCCGUAGGGGUAGAGGGAAUUCCCGGUGUAGCGGUGAAAUGCGUAGAGAUCGGGAAGAACAUCGGUGGCGAAAGCGCUCUACUGGACGGCAACUGACACUCAGGGACGAAAGCUAGGGGAGCGAAUGGGAUUAGAUACCCCAGUAGUCCUAGCUGUAAACGAUGGAUACUAGGUGUAGCUUGUAUCGACCCGAGCUGUGCCGAAGCUAGCGCGUUAAGUAUCCCGCCUGGGGAGUACGCACGCAAGUGUGAAACUCAAAGGAAUUGACGGGGGCCCGCACAAGCGGUGGAGUAUGUGGUUUAAUUCGAUGCAACGCGAAGAACCUUACCAGGGCUUGACAUGUCCGG
This 927-nucleotide ribosomal RNA is filed under the name uncultured organism. Its description in RNAcentral is "bacterial SSU rRNA". It matches the Rfam family "Bacterial small subunit ribosomal RNA", at positions 22 to 993 of the family's 1533-position model. The record is from RNAcentral.